CGGAACGUGCCCAGUAGUGGGGAGUAGCCGCGAAGCGGAUUAAUACCGCAUGAGGCCUGAGGGUGAAAGCGGGGGAUCGCAAGACCUCGCGCUAUUGGAGCGGCCGAUAUCAGAUUAGGUAGUUGGUGGGGUAAAGGCCUACCAAGCCGACGAUCUGUAGCUGGUCUGAGAGGACGACCAGCCACACUGGGGACUGAGACACGGCCCAGACUCCUACGGGAGGCAGCAGUGGGGAAUUUUGGACAAUGGGCGCAAGCCUGAUCCAGCCAUGCCGCGUGCGGGAAGAAGGCCUUCGGGUUGUAAACCGCUUUUGUCAGGGAAGAAAUCUUCUGGGUUAAUACCUCGGGAGGAUGACGGUACCUGAAGAAUAAGCACCGGCUAACUACGUGCCAGCAGCCGCGGUAAUACGUAGGGUGCGAGCGUUAAUCGGAAUUACUG
Molecule: ribosomal RNA, 438 nt
Filed under: uncultured bacterium
Lineage: Bacteria
Description: bacterial SSU rRNA
Rfam family: Bacterial small subunit ribosomal RNA
Source: RNAcentral